RNAcentral lists this long non-coding RNA (2110 nucleotides) under Bos grunniens (domestic yak). RNAcentral describes it as "lncRNA (ENSBGRG00000022350.1)". Lineage: Eukaryota; Metazoa; Chordata; Mammalia; Artiodactyla; Bovidae. The record is from RNAcentral.
UUCCUCAAGGGCAGAUGGUCCCAUCCGUGGGCCUCCACACGGCCACGGUGCAGAUCUGCUCCUGCCCACUCGGGCUGGGUUGUAAUAACUGCAGGGUAGACGGGGAUCAUCCAGGUCUUGUCAGAGGACCAAGGGCCAGGGGGCGGUCAUCCCCCACAAAAGACGAGUCCGGCAGCCAUAGAUGGAAGAAAGGUCCCCUGAUCCCAAACCAGGACAUAACCCGCCUCCCGAGAGGAGGAGAUGCUCCCGGCCAGACAGCCAACGCCACUAUUUCAGGGGAUUUUCCGAGUGUGCCCAGAACGGACCCCAUGCUGUGAAACAGCACACUGUGAACUCAAAAUUUCGCUCGCAGACAACUAGAGGCAGCCUUCAGAAUGGCACCAGGGCUCCCCUCUGCUUUUGGCAGUCUGCGCCUGGGUGUGGGGCGGGGUUGAGGGCUGCGGCUCCAGCCAUUCUGUCGUUGGAGGGGAGCACGUGUUGUGGGAGCCCACCUUGGCCCCGGGCCCCGUCUCUGCGUCCCGAGGACUCUGUCCCUCAAGCGUUUCCACCCCUGAAGCCUGCCGCGCGCCUCCCAGAGCAGUUCUACGUUGGCAAAAUCACCAGGGGUCACGUCACGGCAUUUGCACUGGUUUUGAAAAAUGGAUUGAACACCUGCCUUUUGGCUAAUACGAUAAUGGGGACAUAAUACUGAAAAGUGGUCUUCAUGAACAACGUGGACGGCAGUCAGGGCUGUGGGGGCCCAGUAGGGUGCAGCCCAGCAUCCACCUGGAAAGUCAGGACCAAGAUUGGCCAGGAGCGGGCCUCGGGUGACUCCCUGCUCUUCCUGGUCUAAGAUUCUGGACUCACCGGGCUCUGCAGUGUGAACCUUUGCAGAGGAAUUAGAACUAGAAGCCUAUCUUCGGCCGGUUUUGAGCAGAAGCAGAAACCAGAGGGCUUGAGGGAAAGGCCCAGGGCCAGGGUGGGGAGGGCAGGACUCACCUGCCUGCCACGCUCCCCGGGGGGAACCGCGUCCUCUCACCUGUGGGGCUGCCUGUCAGUCACUCCUCCUCCGGCUCAGCAGCCUAACUUCCUCUGCUGCCUCCAUGGCCCCCUGGCCUGGCUGGAAUCCCAGGUGAGGUCAGAAGCUGCUGCCACAAUUCUGAUUCAGAUGAGACUCAAGUCAAGUUGGGGUGCGGGGGCUUUGCAGCCAGGACAGAGGACAGGUCCUGGGGGUGGGGUGGGGGUGUGGGGUGUGUGUGAAGUGUGUGUAACCGUGGGGGAGGGGGUGGCUUUGCAGCCAGGAGGGGAGGAAGGGCCUGGGGUGGCUCCUUGGCCAGUCACAAGGCAGUGAAACUGGAAACGACCUGAAGGCCACUCUUCCCCGGGAGGCUGGGCAUCCCGGCAGCCUGGGGCAGCUUCCUCCACUGGAGGCGGUCCUGGAGGAUCCACAGGAAGAUCCCUGCACCCCAUGCCAUAGCACUCAACACUGGCACCUCCGUCACCCCAGCCCGAGAACCUCUGCUGAGCACUGCUGUCCAGCGCAGCGGGGGUGCCUGCGAGCUCACUCCUGGAGGUGAGAGGGCAGCAGGUGCCCCGAGAAGGACGGAGACAGUGGAAGAGGGUCUGAGGUCUGCGAUUUCACAUGGGAAGCCUGGGGUCCAGGCCGUCCGCAGGAAGACCGACCGAUCGCCUCCAGCUGGAAUGGGGUUACACCCCGCCCCCACCCCCACCCCCACCCCAAAGCGGCCCAACUGCGCACGGCGCCCAGUGCCCGGCCCCGACCCCACCGAGGCGCUCACCGCACGCUCCCGCCGUCCCCCAGCUCUCGCAAGGCGCCCCCACUCCCCGCCCCCCUGCACUCGCUCCGUGGGGUCCCAACCCCGCAACCCCGGCCCCCAACGCGGACCCACAGCAGAGGCUUGCACCCGACUGGCCCCCCAGGGAGGCCGGUCCGCGCGCCCCUCCGUCUCCCAGCGCCCGGGGGCCGGAGGGGCCGCCCCCGCCCGCGGAGCCGUGUGGCCCCGGGGCCCGCGCCGACCCGCCUUGUAAGGCAGAGGCCGAGCGAGGCCGGCCUCGGUGCGUCCGGCGGCCGGGGGCAGGGCCGGGCGGGGCGGCCGGAGCGCGCGGGGCG